UUGGUGCUUGCAUCAUGAUUUACAUUUGAGUGAGUGGCGAACUGGUGAGUAACACGUGGGAAACCUGCCCAGAAGCGGGGGAUAACACCUGGAAACAGAUGCUAAUACCGCAUAACAACUUGGACCGCAUGGUCCGAGUUUGAAAGAUGGCUUCGGCUAUCACUUUUGGAUGGUCCCGCGGCGUAUUAGCUAGAUGGUGAGGUAACGGCUCACCAUGGCAAUGAUACGUAGCCGACCUGAGAGGGUAAUCGGCCACAUUGGGACUGAGACACGGCCCAAACUCCUACGGGAGGCAGCAGUAGGGAAUCUUCCACAAUGGACGAAAGUCUGAUGGAGCAACGCCGCGUGAGUGAAGAAGGGUUUCGGCUCGUAAAACUCUGUUGUUAAAGAAGAACAUAUCUGAGAGUAACUGUUCAGGUAUUGACGGUAUUUAACCAGAAAGCCACGGCUAACUACGUGCCAGCAGCCGCGGUAAUACGUAGGUGGCAAGCGUUGUCCGGAUUUAUUGGGCGUAAAGCGAGCGCAGGCGGUUUUUUAAGUCUGAUGUGAAAGCCUUCGGCUCAACCGAAGAAGUGCAUCGGAAACUGGGAAACUUGAGUGCAGAAGAGGACAGUGGAACUCCAUGUGUAGCGGUGAAAUGCGUAGAUAUAUGGAAGAACACCAGUGGCGAAGGCGGCUGUCUGGUCUGUAACUGACGCUGAGGCUCGAAAGUAUGGGGUAGCAAACAGGAUUAGAUACCCUGGGUAGUCCAUACCGGUAAACGAUGAAUGCUAAGUGUUGGGAGGGUUUCCGCCCUUUCAGUGCUGCAGCUUACCCCAUUAGCCAUUCCGCCCUGGGGGAGUACCGGCCCCCAGGGCUGAAAACUCCAAAGGAAUUUGACCGGGGGCCCCGCACAAACCGGUUGGAACCAUGUGGGUUUUAAUUUCCAAACCUUCCCCCAAAAAAACCCU
Molecule: ribosomal RNA, 950 nt
Filed under: Lactiplantibacillus plantarum
Lineage: Bacteria; Bacillati; Bacillota; Bacilli; Lactobacillales; Lactobacillaceae
Description: bacterial SSU rRNA
Rfam family: Bacterial small subunit ribosomal RNA
Source: RNAcentral